Molecule: ribosomal RNA, 582 nt
Filed under: uncultured bacterium
Lineage: Bacteria
Description: bacterial SSU rRNA
Rfam family: Bacterial small subunit ribosomal RNA
Source: RNAcentral
CCUACGGGAGGCAGCAGUGGGGAAUUUUGGACAAUGGGCGCAAGCCUGAUCCAGCCAUGCCGCGUGCAGGAUGAAGGCCUUCGGGUUGUAAACUGCUUUUGUACGGAACGAAAAGGUCUUUUUUAAUAAAGAGGGCCCAUGACGGUACCGUAAGAAUAAGCACCGGCUAACUACGUGCCAGCAGCCGCGGUAAUACGUAGGGUGCAAGCGUUAAUCGGAAUUACUGGGCGUAAAGCGUGCGCAGGCGGUAAUGUAAGACAGAUGUGAAAUCCCCGGGCUCAACCUGGGAACUGCAUUUGUGACUGCAUUGCUGGAGUGCGGCAGAGGGGGAUGGAAUUCCGCGUGUAGCAGUGAAAUGCGUAGAUAUGCGGAGGAACACCGAUGGCGAAGGCAAUCCCCUGGGCCUGCACUGACGCUCAUGCACGAAAGCGUGGGGAGCAAACAGGAUUAGAUACCCUGGUAGUCCACGCCCUAAACGAUGUCAACUGGUUGUUGGGUCUUCAUUGACUCAGUAACGAAGCUAACGCGUGAAGUUGACCGCCUGGGGAGUCGGCCGCAAGGUUGAAACUCAAAGGAUUGACG